AUUGAACGCUGGCGGCAUGCUUUACACAUGCAAGUCGAACGGUAACAGGUUAAGCUGACGAGUGGCGAACGGGUGAGUAAUGCAUCGGAACGUGCCCGAUCGUGGGGGAUAACGCAGCGAAAGCUGCGCUAAUACCGCAUACGAUCUGAGGAUGAAAGCGGGGGACCGUAAGGCCUCGCGCGAACGGAGCGGCCGAUGGCAGAUUAGGUAGUUGGUGGGGUAAAGGCUCACCAAGCCAACGAUCUGUAGCUGGUCUGAGAGGACGACCAGCCACACUGGGACUGAGACACGGCCCAGACUCCUACGGGAGGCAGCAGUGGGGAAUUUUGGACAAUGGGCGAAAGCCUGAUCCAGCAAUGCCGCGUGCAGGAAGAAGGCCUUCGGGUUGUAAACUGCUUUUGUACGGAGCGAAAAGGCUCUCUCUAAUACAGGGGGCUCAUGACGGUACCGUAAGAAUAAGCACCGGCUAACUACGUGCCAGCCGCCGCAGUAA
Molecule: ribosomal RNA, 493 nt
Filed under: uncultured bacterium
Lineage: Bacteria
Description: partial 16S ribosomal RNA
Rfam family: Bacterial small subunit ribosomal RNA
Source: RNAcentral